This 503-nucleotide ribosomal RNA is filed under the name Laccotrephes aff. pfeiferiae JRR-2017. RNAcentral's name for it is "SSU rRNA". It matches the Rfam family "Eukaryotic small subunit ribosomal RNA", at positions 32 to 526 of the family's 1831-position model. The record is from RNAcentral. Lineage: Eukaryota; Metazoa; Arthropoda; Insecta; Hemiptera; Nepidae.
UUGUCCAAAAGCUUAACCCAUGCAAGUCUCAGUACAAGCCGANNCGAGKUGAACCGGCAAACGGCUCAUUAAUUCAGUUUUAGUUUACUUGACCGUAAACUAUCCGUUUUUGGAUAACUGUGGCAAUUCUAGAGCUAAUACAUGCAACCGAGUCCUGACCAGUGAUGGAAGGGGCGCUUUUAUUAGAUCAAAAUCAAUCGGCCGUCCGGUCCGUUUGACUUGAUGACUCUGAAUAACACACCGGAUCGCACGGUCUCCGUACCGGCGACYCAUCUUUCAAAUGCCUGACUUAUCAACUGUCGAUGGUAGAUUCUAUGUCUACCAUGGUUGUAACGGGUGACGGGGAAUCAGGGUUCGAUUCCGGAGAGGGAGCCUGAGAAACGGCUACCACAUCCAAGGAAGGCAGCAGGCACGCAAAUUACCCACUCCCGGCACGGGGAGGUAGUGACAAAAAAUAACGAUACGGGACUCAUCCGAGGCCCCGUAAUCGGAAUGAGAACUCU